Molecule: ribosomal RNA, 325 nt
Filed under: uncultured eukaryote
Lineage: Eukaryota
Description: partial 18S ribosomal RNA
Rfam family: Eukaryotic small subunit ribosomal RNA
Source: RNAcentral
CCCUUAGAUGUUCUGGGCCGCACGCGCGCUACACUGAUGCAUUCAACGAGCCUAUCCUUGACCGACAGGUCCGGGUAAUCUUUGAAUCUGCAUCGUGACGGGGAUAGAUUAUUGCAAUUAUUAAUCUUCAACGAGGAAUGCCUAGUAGGCGCAAGUCAUCAGCUUGCGUCGAUUACGUCCCUGCCCUUUGUACACACCGCCCGUCGCUCCUACCGAUUGGGUGUGCUGGUGAAAUGUUCGGAUCGGCCGUUUGUCGCGGUUUCCGCGUCAUGCGGCUGAGAAGUUCAUUAAACCCUCCCACCGAGAGGAAGGAGAAGUCGUAACA